This 257-nucleotide ribosomal RNA is filed under the name uncultured prokaryote. RNAcentral's name for it is "partial 16S ribosomal RNA". It matches the Rfam family "Bacterial small subunit ribosomal RNA", at positions 524 to 780 of the family's 1533-position model. The record is from RNAcentral.
UACGGAGGAUCCUAGUGUUAUCCGGAUUUAUUGGGUUUAAAGGGAGCGUAGGCGGGAGGUCAAGUCAGCUGUGAAAUGUAUCUGCUUAACGGGUACACUGCAGUUGAAACUGGUUUUCUUGAGUGCGUAAGAGGCAGGCGGAAUUCGUUGUGUAGCGGUGAAAUGCUUAGAUAUGACGAGGAACUCCUAUUGCGAAGGCAGCUUGCUGGGUCAUUACUGACGCUGAUGCUCGAAGGUGCGGGGAUCAAACAGGAUUA